GCCUAACACAUGCAAGUCGAACGGUAGCACAGAGAGCUUGCUCUCGGGUGACGAGUGGCGGACGGGUGAGUAAUGUCUGGGAAACUGCCCGAUGGAGGGGGAUAACUACUGGAAACGGUAGCUAAUACCGCAUAACGUCGCAAGACCAAAGUGGGGGACCUUCGGGCCUCACACCAUCGGAUGUGCCCAGAUGGGAUUAGCUAGUAGGUGGGGUAAUGGCUCACCUAGGCGACGAUCCCUAGCUGGUCUGAGAGGAUGACCAGCCACACUGGAACUGAGACACGGUCCAGACUCCUACGGGAGGCAGCAGUGGGGAAUAUUGCACAAUGGGCGCAAGCCUGAUGCAGCCAUGCCGCGUGUAUGAAGAAGGCCUUCGGGUUGUAAAGUACUUUCAGCGGGGAGGAAGGCGGUGAAGUUAAUAGCUUCACCGAUUGACGUUACCCGCAGAAGAAGCACCGG
RNAcentral lists this ribosomal RNA (459 nucleotides) under uncultured Erwinia sp. Its description in RNAcentral is "bacterial SSU rRNA". It matches the Rfam family "Bacterial small subunit ribosomal RNA", at positions 46 to 496 of the family's 1533-position model. The record is from RNAcentral. Lineage: Bacteria; Pseudomonadati; Pseudomonadota; Gammaproteobacteria; Enterobacterales; Erwiniaceae.